Non-coding RNA from Pimephales promelas (fathead minnow), 2272 nucleotides. NCBI's taxonomy places the organism in Eukaryota, Metazoa, Chordata, Actinopteri, Cypriniformes, Leuciscidae. The record is from RefSeq and is a predicted model, not a curated record.
CAGCUUUAAAUGUUUCUCCUAAGUAUGUCAUAAGAGAGUCCGACUCAGUGACGAUGACCUGUGAUCUGCCAGAAGGUCCACCAGUGUAUCAGUGUUAUUUCUACAUAAGAGAAGAGAAGGGUAUAAAACAGAAUUGGAAGUGUGAACUGGAGCUCACUGGUGCUGAAGUGCUCAGAUGGGCAGAUGUAAAAUCACCAGCAUCAGUCGACAUUUACUGCUUCUACACAAUACAAGAGAACCAGAUUGAGAAACCAUCACCUCAUUCUCCUCCUGCCACCGUGACGGUUCGAGUUUCAACAAGAGCCUCCACUGCACAUACAAGUACAACAGCCUCCACCGUACAUAUGACUACAACAGUCUCCACUGAACAUACAAUUACAAAAGCCAUUACAACCUGUGAGUAACAACAUACAGUAAACAUAUGAAACAAAUUUCAACUUCUAUACAAACCAACUGGGAGAAAAAACCUUACAUAGAUUGAGCUUGAAACACAAAUGUUAUCAAUCCAGACUCUUAGUAUUACUGAUAACCUGUGUAAAAAGCCAUGCUUCCUCCUAUCCAAACAAUCCCCCUUCCUCUACUACUUCACCUGGAUUUAAUCAAGAGGAGGAGAGCAGCUUACAGCUCAGGACGUGUCAUCCACCUUUACACUAGUCUCGGCUCUCCACAAGGGUGUGUAUUGAGCCCUUUACUGUACUCCCUCAAUACCUACAGUAUGACUGCAGCAGAGCCCAACACAGUAAUAGCAUAUUAAAUUUGCAGACGACACAACAGUGAUAAGACUUAUCGAAGGUGGCGAUGAAACAGCUUAUAGAGACGAGGUCCAGAAAAUAACAUCAUGGAGUUCAGUCAACAACCAGAAGGUGGAUCUGUUUCCCCUUAACAUCGAUGAGGACUGUGUUGAGAUGGUCCAACAUUUUUAAUUUCUUGGCACUUUUAUCUCUACUGUACUGACCUCUCCUGGACUGCAAAUACUACGGCGGUCAUCCAGCAUCAACUACACUUACUGAGACUUCUCAGGAAAAACAACACAUGUGAAAAGCCGCUGGUGAAUUUCUAUCGCUCCUGCAUUGAGAGUGUGCUGACCUACUGUAUUAUAGUGUGGUUUGCUAGUCGCUCUAAGGCAGAUGAGAGGGGGCUUCAGAGAAACCACCAGUGUCAGAAAUAUGUAAUGUAUUUGUGCUUUGUUAAUAAGAGAUUAUUAAAUCUGUGUUAAAUGUUAAAUAAGAAGAAUCAUUUUCCUGACAGUGAGAUCAUCUAGAAACACUGAUGUCUGUAAUCAUGAUGCAGUAGAACACAUUUUUAAUUGUAAUAUGAUUUGAUCUGAGAUCUUUUCUGUUGCAGCUGUUCCUCAUAAUGAUCACAUUCACUCUGAAGGUUGUUCAUUCACUCACAACACAAAACAAAACUGAUCAUCUAAAUAUCUGUAAAAACUAAAACAUUGACAUUUCCUCCAUUCAUGAUCAUAUGAUGUGGCAUGUUCAUUUAAAAUCUGAUAUGGAUAUAAACAUGGAUUGAAGCUUUAUUCUUUCUUUUGACAGGCUCAUGGCUUUUAGUAGUGCUGGUUUUCACUGGUAUUGGUUUAUUUCUGUCUGGACUCAUGGGAUUCAUCUGUCUCUGCCCCUUUGACAGUUCUGAUGACGCUCUCACUGAGGUGAUCUACAGCUCCUGCCAUGUGGAAACAACGUCUCUGUUAUGCUCCUCAAAACAUGGAUGAACCGUUUUAUUUCUUUACUUGUUGCAAAUUUACAGACAACAAUUACGUACAGAAAGAAUGAUGGUUCAGAAUAGCCACUGAAUUCAUAAACUGAUCAGCAGGCCAAGGCAUCUUUGAGUUUUUUUCCCACAUUUAUUUUGGGAGAAAAUCAUAUAAUUUACAUUGAAUAUCCAUAAAUCUCCAUGCGACUCUUUACAUUUUGUUUCUUAGUUUUUUGGAAGUAACUUUUAUUAGUUAAGUACAUCAGGGUUUUAAGUUACAUCUUAAGUUGUUUAAUGAUUAUUGCACUGUGACACUGUGAUCGCCAUACAUUAGUAUUUACAUCAGCUUGUGGAAAAGCUACUUUUGAUAAACUGUAAUUCAUGUGACUUUCUCUUUGCUGCUAGUGUUAUAUGGUGGAUAUCGGUGUAUGUUAAAAGUACAAAAUUAAAAAUUACAAGAUUUUAGUAGCAGUGCGACCAAUUCAGGAGAAAAGAGCUGUUGGAUUUACUGUUGUUGUUGUUGUUUUUACUGUACAGAAUAAAUGGCAACCACAACUUUGUAAUAAUGAAAGGA